AGGGGUAUAGUUCUUCGGAGCUAGAGACCGGCGCACGGGUGCGUAACGCGUAUGCAAUCUACCUUUUACAGAGGGAUAGCCCAGAGAAAUUUGGAUUAAUACCUCAUAGUAUGUGAGAAUCGCAUGGUUUUCACAUUAAAGUCACAACGGUAAAAGAUGAGCAUGCGUCCCAUUAGCUUGUUGGUAAGGUAACGGCUUACCAAGGCAACGAUGGGUAGGGGUCCUGAGAGGGAGAUCCCCCACACUGGUACUGAGACACGGACCAGACUCCUACGGGAGGCAGCAGUGAGGAAUAUUGGACAAUGGGCGCAAGCCUGAUCCAGCCAUGCCGCGUGCAGGAUGACGGUCCUAUGGAUUGUAAACUGCUUUUGUACAGGAAGAAACACUCCCUCGUGAGGGAGCUUGACGGUACUGUAAGAAUAAGGAUCGGCUAACUCCGUGCCAGCAGCCGCGGUAAUACGGAGGAUCCAAGCGUUAUCCGGAAUCAUUGGGUUUAAAGGGUCCGUAGGCGGUUUAAUAAGUCAGUGGUGAAAGCCCAUCGCUCAACGGUGGAACGGCCAUUGAUACUGUUAAACUUGAAUUAUUAGGAAGUAACUAGAAUAUGUAGUGUAGCGGUGAAAUGCUUAGAGAUUACAUGGAAUACCAAUUGCGAAGGCAGGUUACUACUAAUGGAUUGACGCUGAUGGACGAAAGCGUGGGUAGCGAACAGGAUUAGAUACCCUGGUAGUCCACGCCGUAAACGAUGGAUACUAGCUGUUGGGAGCAAUCUCAGUGGCUAAGCGAAAGUGAUAAGUAUCCCACC
RNAcentral lists this ribosomal RNA (802 nucleotides) under uncultured Bacteroidota bacterium. RNAcentral's name for it is "bacterial SSU rRNA". It matches the Rfam family "Bacterial small subunit ribosomal RNA", at positions 65 to 873 of the family's 1533-position model. The record is from RNAcentral. Lineage: Bacteria; Pseudomonadati; Bacteroidota.